This is a long non-coding RNA of Ictidomys tridecemlineatus (thirteen-lined ground squirrel), 9248 nucleotides long. RefSeq lists it as uncharacterized. NCBI's taxonomy places the organism in Eukaryota, Metazoa, Chordata, Mammalia, Rodentia, Sciuridae. The record is from RefSeq and is a predicted model, not a curated record.
CGUGAUGUCCACUGUCAGCAGGUGGACUGACAUCUAGGAAGGCCACACCCAAGGGCAGAGCAAGAGAAGGGGACACACAAGGGGCGUUUCCAUGGGACAUUCUAUCCCAAACAAGGGUUCAGCAAGGGGGUAACAUCACAAAGGAACGGUGAGCGUAGCCCGACCCUGGGGCUGCAGGAAGGCGCGCCUGCGCACGAAGACACAUUUUGUGACAUUUUGUGACUUCCAAGAUCAGGGUAGCCAUCUAGAGCCACUUUGAUGUGGCCAGAUCACUUGGAAGUGACCAACAGAGCCUCAACGGAUCAGAGAAUGGAAAUGCUGGUCACAUAGUGUGAUGGCCCCCCACAGAUCCAUGAGGGACUCUAGUUUUGAAAGCCCAGGUACCGUAUAUGCAAUGUGUCCCUUGGCAGCCGUGCCUCCCUAGUGCCCCUGGUGUUGGUGAGCAUGGGCCAGGCUGGACCACGGAUCAAGCAGUCUCCAGAUCCACAAUGGCUCAUUUCCAUCCAGGCUCCGUGCCCAGGGGAGGUGACAGGUUUUAACUGCGGUCCUUACCCCAGGACCAGGCUGGCUGCCGGCACCGCCCCCAGGCAACACAGUUUCUCCCAUUUCCUCCAACCAGGCCAGCCCCUGGCCAAGCAAACACCACGCCUCCUACUGUGCAGGGGUGGGGCAGCAGGUGGCAGCCCAGCAUGGUUCUAGGAGUGACCAUAGCAUCUGGAGUGGCCAUAGCAUCUGGACCAGCAGAGCUGUCCCCCGUCAGAGCAGACACACAGGCAUCGCCUGCCACUGGCCUGGCCUUGAGAGUCUGCAGGGCUGCAGAGGCAGGGCCCCCAACUGCCCAGUGCCCAGGGCGCCUGGAGAUGUGCACCUCUCUCUGAUAGCCUGCAUCCCUAAGGGUCAGGCCACUCCCCCGUCCAGAGAGCCACAGGAAGGCUGACCCUAUUGCUCAGUGCAGAGCACUCCUGUGGGGUCUUGGCCACUCAUCUGUCCCCAGCUUCCAAGGCCUGGCUGGCCUUGGCCCCUCCUCUGCAGACCCCAAGGUGGGCUUGGGUUUCGGAGACACCUGCAGGAGGGCAACAUCCAUGCUGGUGGGGCUGGCUGACUCUGGUCACAGCAGCCCCCAAGCCAUUCCUGGUGCCCCAGGCCACCUGAAGGGCAGUGAAGGUCCAGUCACACUGCAGCCCUGAGGCUCCUCGGUGUCCCAGCUCAGGCAAGGCCCAUGUGCAGUCCCCCUCUGGGCCCUGCAGAGUCAGAGCCGGGCCUGCCUUGCACAGGGAGGGCCAGAAGACAGGGCCCGGCAGCAUGACGGCUGCUGCUGGGAUUUCUGCAGUCCCUGAGCCGCCUCAGCUCCUCCUUCUCACAGUCUUGUGUCCAGGAGGCCCCAUCAUUCGCCCACCCAGGGAGGCUCACAGGCUCCUGGGCACAGCAGGAGCCACAGGGUAAGCAGAGGCCUGGGGGCAGCAGUUCUGCGGUCUGUCCAGAGGUCAGCAGCACAGCUCUCAGCCUGGGCGCCCAUCCACUCCCCAGUCUUAAGAAGCUGCACUCUCGGGGCAGCACGUCCAGCCAGUGUCCAGGUGGGUGCUGCCGGGCUGAGGAUGGCCUCCUCUUGGUGGGGUUUUUCUGGCUGCCAACCCCUGCUCACCCAGAUGGCUCAGGCCCACCUGCCACCCCUCCUCCUGCCCCCGGGGACGUGGGGCCUGGCAGACGUCAGGGAGGGCACACCUUCCAGGUGCAGAUGGCCCCUGGGCCAGGACCAGAUGGGCCCCUGGGCCACACUGGGAGGGGAAGCUCCUGCCCAGGGCUGCGGGAAGCACCAAUGUUGCUGCUCAGCCUCCUCCAAGGUGUGUUAAAAAUGGGACCAGCAGAGGCACCUCGUCCUCCAUGCGCCAAUGACACUGACAAUGAGACUAAAAAUAACAGGCGCUUCUCCUGCAGGCGAGAGUGCGAGCUCACGCUGCCUCCCGCUGCCUCCCGCAAGCGGCUCCCUCCCACACCACCGAGGGGAACAGAGCCAGGCAGCUGGAGCCGCAGAGCAGAGCAGGGCCCUGGGCCCCUGGACCCCCAGAGAUGGCAGCAAAUCCCACCUGGCCAGCUGGCGUCACUGCCCACGCACACUUGGACCCCACAGGCCAGUGGUUUUUGGAGUAGACUGGGAAAGGGCAGCGAAGGGCCACUUGGGCCUGUCUUUCCUGCUUCAGAACUGCUCUGGACUUUCUCCUGGUGCCAUUGGAUGUCCUUGUCCAGUGAGGAGGCUGGCAUGACGGGGCAGUGGGCAUCACCUGAGCAGCACCAACCUUCCUCUCCCCUGGCUCAUGGCAGAGGGGUCUCCAACCUAGAGCUAGGGCCACAGGCUCCAGAAGCUCCAAAGUCCCUCCUCCACAGGUCAGGAGGCCGGGAGCAGGGGAGGUAGUCCAGUGGGUGGUGUAGGCCAGGUGAGGCCCCGUGCCCUUGCUCCCCACCUGCUCGCCAUGUCCACUGCCUUGUCGGGACGUGCCCCAGCAGUGCCACCUGGGAGCUCAGGGCUGGCACAGCCUAGACUGGAGCCCCUCACAAGUUCCUCCCAGUGGAGGGGCUGAGACCCUCCUGCUCUCCUGCUCCUGCCCACUCCACAUUCCCUGGCCACAGCUCCAGCACAUGGACCUGGACUUGUGGGACUUGUCAGGCGACAGGUCCUGGGGGAGGCACAGGAAUCUCAAACCCAGAGAGCACCCAGGGCACCAGGCUUCCCCUGUCUUCUCCCAUCUGCCAACGUGUCCUCCCUGCAAAGUGGGGCAGGGCCUGGGAGGAGGUCGCUGAGCCACCUCUAGAUGGGGUCUCUGCACUGGGGCCUGGCUUGGAGACAGUGUAGUCAGCGUCCCCUCCAACCAGCUGCUCUGGGAGCAAGUGCCUGGGGCAAGAGCCACAGCCUCCAUGCAGGCAGCAGCUCUGUCCCUGCCACGCCUGCAGGGCCCCAUGGCAUCCACGUUGCCCAGUCUCUGCCCAGGCCCUCUGGAAAGGACCUGGUACCCACAAUGGGGGAGGCACAGGAACCUCAAGCCCAGAGAGCACCAAGGGCUUGAGCCAGUGUUGAGGGAUGACUCUUGCUGAGGGUCACCAAGGACCCCACUCCUCUGGGCCUCAGGAGACCAGCCUGCCUCCAGUUCCCUGGCCAUCUACUCCCAGGCCAAGGAGAGAAUGAGGCCCUUGUGGGGACAGAAGCCCCUGCAGGCCAGGGUGCGCAGACAGGGCCCCGUCCAGUCGCGCUCCACUGUCCCAAGGUGGUCGCAGCAGCUUCUCGUCUCCCUUCCCCUCCCGGGGGCGGGCAACUCUGCCAGCUGUCUCCAGAAAGUGUUUGUGAUCUGACUCCUGGAAAAACCAUCUGAUUGACAGGCUCCGAGAGAUGGGCAAACCCCACGGCAGGGCAGGAGGCAGGGGUUUCUUCAGAUCGCCUGCCAGGCUGGAAUCCAGCACUAAGUGGGGACAUGAAGGGCCCUGGAAAACUCUCUCAGAGCACGUGGGUGUCCAGGUGUCUGAUGCCACAGAAUCUCAUUUUGUAGGCCCUUGCCCCAAGCAAAUGGAGGCUUGGUCCAGGAGGUCAAGUUCAAGGGGGCUAGGGAUUUAGCUCAGUUGGUAGAGUGUUUGCUUUGCAUGCACAAGGCCCUGGGUUCUAAUCCCCAGCACACACACACAAAAAAGGUCAAGUUCAAAAACAAAAAGGCUGCCUCCUAACACACACACACACACACACACACACACACACACACAGGGGCAAAAACAAAAUCUACACCCAUGCAUGCUCACACACUCGCUCAUACAGGCAUGCACACACCAGCCCUUUCUCAGCACUGUGGGGUGUGUUGAGGACCAGUGGCUAACGAGUAUUGAAUAACUGAACACAAGGGACAUGCUGCUAGGUUUCACAGUCGGACAGGAGUCCUGCUUAGCUCAGUGACCGGCAGAACACAUCCACUGCCACCUCCACUGGCCACCCCAUGAGCAUCACAGUUGCCCAAGCUCUCAGCACCCCUGCAGCCCACAGCCAUAGGCCCACAGGCCACCAAAGGGCUAGAUCUGUGUGUAGGAGGAACGGCCUCUGAAAGGGACUGGUCUCCCUGCUCCAUCGCAGCACUGGCCAACCAGGACACACCUGGACAGUCCCCUUGCUCUGCCCCUGCAGCAUCCUGAGGCUCACUGAAGCUGAGUUCUGUGACCCUAAGGGUGGGAAACUGCAGCUGGACCUCAGGGCCCUCUCAGGACACUACAAAGAGCCCAAGGACACAGGCCUCACUGACACCACCCCAUCUCAGUGUGGCCCUGCUGCCUGUGUGGGUCACACACGUGGGUGGGGCCUCACCAAGGUGUCAACAUGGAGGAUGGCUAACAUCAGCUGCUCCUGGUCUAUCUCUGGUCAUCCGUGGGCUGCAAGGGCCUUGACCUGCUGAGAUGUAGGCUUGGCCCUCCCCACAGAGGGUUCUAAGUCUGUGACCCAGGAGAAAAGAGCCUAGGGUGGGGACACCUGUAGAGGUGUGUUCUGGGCAGAGAUGUCACAGUGAGGAGGUACUGGGAGCAGGAACCCUGGUGCCCUCCAGGACAGGGGGUACAGUGCCCUGAGAGAAGCAGAGGUGGCCCUGGAAUGCUGCCACCUGUUGGCAGCAGCCAGGCCCCUGGGUGGCCCCGUGGCUCUGGGCCCCCACUCCUUGUCCUCACAGGGGAGGGCUGACUAUAGACUGGGAGUCUUAUGUGAGGAUCUCCAAGUCCAGUUGCACCCCAUCUGGGGCCUGGCAGCUAGUGAGGCUUUGACUUCAUACCCCACCUCCUGGUGUCACAUUGCCAGGAGCUGAGGAGGGAGACCCUGCUGGGCUCUCCCUGUGGCCUGCCUGAGCAGUGGCCCUCUGGGCACACAGAGGCAUGCUGCAGAGCAGCUGGCCAGAGUUCUUGGCAUGCACUCACGCUGGGCUGAGAUGCUGCUCACAUUUUUCUAGGUGUGUAUAGUGGAAACAAAACCAAAAUAUUAUCACAAGGCUAAGUUUGUUUUACAGCUGCUUAUGAUAUAUGACGGUGCUUGUUUGAGCCUCAUCUAAACAGCUUCCCCGAGCUCCCAGCCACUUCCCCCCACACACACACUCCUGGCAGCUGAGUCUGAGGGUGACUCCAGAGAUUCUCCAUGCAGCACCAGGGGAGAGAAGCCCUGGCCUGAGAGGGUGGGGUCUUCUCAGCAGGAGACUGACAUCCUGAGGCUCCAGGCCCAGUUUUCUCCUGGGCAUAGUUGGACAAGUUCCAGUUCUUAGGGUAGAGAUUGAAGGAGAGUCAUUUUCUCAGCAGGGGUGUUAUCUGCCAAGGGCUUGGGAUUCCUGUAUUUGCUGUGACUAACCUGACCAUGCGGUUCUGAAGCUUUGGAACUUGUUUGUGGGAGGAAUUUUGAAAAGUUCAGAGUUGCAAGCUGGAAAGACUUUAGAAUGUUAUAGCUUAACUGAAAAUUCUGGUGGGAGCUCAGAAGACCAGGACUGUGGACAGUAAAGACUGGGCUCAUAAGGUUGCAGAGCAGAAAUAGGACACUAUUGGAAACUGGACUACCGGCCAUUUGUCUUAUGUUCUGGCUAUGAAGUUGUCUGCAUUUUGCCCACAUUCUGAGAUUUUCUGUGAGGUUGAAUUUAAAGGUGGUGGAUUAAUUAAUGUGGUGGAGAAAAUUUCAAGGCAGCUCAGCAUUCAGGAGGUAGUGUAGAUAUUGCUGGUGGCUUCUAGCCAAGUUUACUUUGAUAAUCAGGAGUAGGAGGUAGAGCAAAAAAAAUUUGAAAAACUUGCAGUGUGGCUAGAAAAGUUUGAGUAAAACUGAGGCCAAGGAAGAUAUGGUUAUUAAAGAAAUUAUAACUACUACAGAAAUGCUAAGUACUUUAUCCAGAAACAAUAAGAGAGAUGGUUUUAGGGGAUCCCAGGAAUUGGCAAGACCACGCCCAUCUAGGGUCAAGGGUGUAAAAGUAAAAAUUCCUUUGGGAAGAGACCAGUGCACCCUGCAUGAACAGGAGUUCCUAGCAACUUGUUUCACUGUGCUGGGCUGCCCAGGCACUCAGAGGCUGCUGCAGCCAUGGUCCCCGGAGAUGUGAUGCUGGUUUUGCAGAAAUGCAGGAUGCUAGAGGUAGGGGGUCAGGGAGGAUUCCACUGAGAUUUCAAAGAAAGGCCUCAGAGGCAUAAGCAGCCUCUGUUGACUUCUUGCUCCUGCAUCAAGGCCACUGUAAGCCAUCAACUCUGCUCAGCUCCAUGUGGUCCUCACAGCAGGACCUAGCUCACCAGAGGCCACAUCUGCAGACUAGUAACAAAUGCACCCCACAUACACACACCACGAGCUGACAGGUGCUAUGCAGAGCACCUCCCAGGGUCUUGCAGGAAGGCCUCUGCUGGGCUCAGCCAUGAUGGGCAGGCACACAGCCAGGAAGUCCCUGCUUCCCAGGAAGGUCAAAUGGGAACAAAGGCAGCAGGCAAGUCACCCAUGAGCAGGGGCCAGUUUCCAAAAUGAAGCCCCAGGAAGGAAAUUCAGCAGGCUAAGGACUGCUCUGUACCCUGAUGAGACCUCAGGAACACAAAGUCCCAGGGCCUGUGGAAUUGAACAGGCUCGCCCUGCUGGCCUGGCGGAGGAAACAGUAACAAGCUCAGAGCUUCUCAGCGGAUGCAGGAAGCAGCUUGACAGGUCCCGCCUCUUCUGAAAAUGCUGCACAGCCCGGAAGAGCAGGACCUGCUCCUGAACCUGGGGUCCACACUGAAAAGCCAACGCCUGGCCUAACUGGCAGAAGGCUUGGGUGUUUCUCCAAAGACUCUGGAAAAUCCUGAGUGACUUCUCCAAGACCAAGGCCUGACGCAGUGAGGUGGGACCCAGCCGAGGGAAAGAGGGGAGUACCGGGGGAAGGGCUGCCCAGCCCUGCCUCUGUACUCAGCACCCGCCCAUCUGGCAGGGGUCCUCGACUCCUCGCUGAGCCCUGGCGAGCAGGAACAUGGCCGGGCACCAUCUGAGGCUGAACACCGGGGAUUCAGGUGCCCAAGCCACCCUCCGAGUACAGGUGGACAGAUAGGCCCUGGAGCCCGAUCCUGUCCCCACACAGGUGGCAAAGUGGUCUACACUGACCAGCAACCAGGGGCCUUCACAGUGGCCUCCGUAUGGCCGCCCAACCUUAUCUCCUAAACCUCGGGAGGACAGAGGGUGAGGGCCCCUGGCUGUGUGUCAGGGCCAGCAUGCAGCCACAUCACAGCUGGAGCCCAGGGCCUCUGAGCCAAGGCCCUCAGGCUCAUGGCCCUGGGGCAGCCUCUCCCCAGAGCCCGGCUUCCAGCCAAGGCUCCCACCCCAUCCAGGACAGAUCAACGGCUGGACCUCGCCUGUGCCCACAGAGGGUGUGGCACUCCAGGUUGGUCUAGUGCUGAGAGGAGGGGCCGGAGCCCCAGGCACAGGUGGGGAGCACAGCUGACCCGAGAGCAAGGCCAGGCACAAAAGCUGCCCUUCACUAGAAGAGAACUUGGGAGCACAGAGCCUGGAGCUGGUCAUGAGGUCCAGGGAACCAGCAACAGGCCACCGGCAGGGGACUCCCGAGCUCAGGCCCCACCAGGGCUUCUGUGCCAGUCAGGGAUGUCCUGCACGUUUUGGCACUGGUCCUUGCCCAGGCUGCUCAACGGGCCAUCGACUGUCCCUAGCUGCGGUAGAAGCACCUCCUGAGGGAGUGAUUUUGGAAGCAAGUGACUGAGGUCUUCUGACACCAUCUCAUGCCACAUCUCUACUGCAGGGGACAGGUGCCCUCCCGCGGCAUAGACCCCAUGGCCCAGGCUCCACAGGGUCAGCCUCAGCGCCAGUCACAGCCUGGACUCCUCUCCACUUGGCUCCCUUCUGGAAGAUGGGAGUCUCCUGCCCAAGCUGGGCCUGCUCACCUGCAGCCCGCAGUGCUGGGUCCUGUGGAGAGGAGCAGCCGGGGCAACAGCUUUCUUGUCACAGGAGCAUCCUGCCUUGGGACUUUGGGCCUAAUUCUGGGCCAAGAACAGACAGUUGCAAGGAGGUGGCCUUCCUCCCACCAUCCCCAGGGCCAGGUCCCUGCUCCUGCUGGACACCUGCUGCCAGCCCCCUGCCACUGUGUGUACCCACUGGUGGUGAAAAGCACUUGCAGGACCUGCCACCUCAUCAGGGGAACUUAGAGCAGAGACCAUGGCCUGCAGUUGAGGACAGCCCAUGGACAUCCAUGUGGACAGUUCCUGCUGAGAAGUUCCAGACCUUGGUUUGUGGUCACUGGGUGGGAACUCGGGGGGUCCUGUCCGGCCAACCCCUCCUGGGACCUCGUGGCCUCCAGGAAAGAUAUUGGAAGCAGGGCUGGCUGACCAGUCAGGGCUGCACCCAGGCCCCCAACUCCCCAUCCACCCAGGACUGCCUGAACAGAUGGCCUCGAGCACCCACUGCUGAAGAACUCUGUGGGCGUCUCACAUCCCCUCAGCCCAGUCUUCACGGCUGGCAGGUGGAGCUGCGGGUGCAGGACAUCCCUGUGGUGCCAGGAAAGCAGGGGCACAGUGGGGUCCUCUGCUCAGGGCUUCCUGGCCUGCAUGCCCAGCCUGGCCGCAGGACAGACCCACUAGUGCCCCAGCCCCCGUGCACAGCCCCACGGCAGCAUCACCACCCCCCCCCCCCCCCGGCCCCACUGACUACAAACCUCAAAGGGCAGCAGGGUGCACUGGACAUGGCAGGCCCGCUGCCCUGGCCAAGUCUCUGACCAAGGUGGGGUCACGUGGUCAGGAACAGGGCUCUGACCAAGGUGGGGUCACGUGGUCAGUUCCCGGGAAGGAGCUUUCUUCCCCUCGCUUAGCUCUCCUUGCUGCCCCACCUCCCUCCCACCUGGGGAGGGGAGGCCAGUUGGGUGCGCUGAAUGGCAUUUUCGCUGCUGACUGGAACCCCCAAACUUGCACAAUUCAGAGGGGAAAGGUCAUCUGGAUCAGGGCUUAAGGCUCAGCCCAUGGCCAGCGGUGCAUCGCCCUGGGCUGGAGCUGAGGCAGAGCUUCACAGCAGCUGGACUGUGUGGCGGAGGAAGCCACUCUGCUCCUGGCUGCUGGGCGGACCCACUGAUGAGGUCAGAGUCCCCAUGACCCAACCGCCAUCCCAAAGGCCCCGCCCCUGGACACUGCUGCACCAGGGACUAACCAUCACAGCAGCCCUGGCGAGAGGUGAAGUGGACAUUGCUGGGUGGGCCUGGAGAAAAGCUUUUACAAGAGAACAGAAGUGACCUUCCUAGUAAAAGUGACCCUUCCUAGUU